CGCAUGGUGGGGGGUGGAAAGCUUUUGUGGUUUUGGAUGGACUCGCGGCCUAUCAGCUUGUUGGUGGGGUAAUGGCCUACCAAGGCGACGACGGGUAGCCGGCCUGAGAGGGUGACCGGCCACACUGGGACUGAGACACGGCCCAGACUCCUACGGGAGGCAGCAGUGGGGAAUAUUGCACAAUGGGCGCAAGCCUGAUGCAGCGACGCCGCGUGAGGGAUGACGGCCUUCGGGUUGUAAACCUCUUUCAGUAGGGAAGAAGCCCUCUUUUGGGGGUGACGGUACUUGCAGAAGAAGCGCCGGCUAACUACGUGCCAGCAGCCGCGGUAAUACGUAGGGCGCAAGCGUUAUCCGGAAUUAUUGGGCGUAAAGAGCUCGUAGGCGGUUUGUCGCGUCUGCUG
This 401-nucleotide ribosomal RNA is filed under the name Arthrobacter sp. acu27. RNAcentral describes it as "bacterial SSU rRNA". It matches the Rfam family "Bacterial small subunit ribosomal RNA", at positions 187 to 594 of the family's 1533-position model. The record is from RNAcentral. RNAcentral also lists the same sequence under 2 other names. Lineage: Bacteria; Bacillati; Actinomycetota; Actinomycetes; Micrococcales; Micrococcaceae.